CGUAGGUGGCAAGCGUUGUCCGGAAUUAUUGGGCGUAAAGCGCGCGCAGGCGGUCCUUUAAGUCUGAUGUGAAAGCCCACGGCUCAACCGUGGAGGGUCAUUGGAAACUGGGGGACUUGAGUACAGAAGAGAAGAGUGGAAUUCCACGUGUAGCGGUGAAAUGCGUAGAGAUGUGGAGGAACACCAGUGGCGAAGGCGACUCUCUGGUCUGUAACUGACGCUGAGGCGCGAAAGCGUGGGGAGCAAACAGGAUUAGAUACCCUGGUAGUCCACGCUGUAAACGAUGAGUGCUAAGUGUUAGAGGGUUUCCGCCCUUUAGUGCUGCAGCUAACGCAUUAAGCACUCCGCCUGGGGAGUACGGCCGCAAGGCUG
This 372-nucleotide ribosomal RNA is filed under the name uncultured organism. Its description in RNAcentral is "bacterial SSU rRNA". It matches the Rfam family "Bacterial small subunit ribosomal RNA", at positions 526 to 896 of the family's 1533-position model. The record is from RNAcentral.